RNAcentral lists this ribosomal RNA (169 nucleotides) under uncultured bacterium. Its description in RNAcentral is "partial 16S ribosomal RNA". It matches the Rfam family "Bacterial small subunit ribosomal RNA", at positions 1318 to 1500 of the family's 1533-position model. The record is from RNAcentral.
GCAUGAAGCUGGAAUUGCUAGUAAUCAUAGGUCAGCAUACUAUGGUGAAUACGUUCCCGGGCCUUGUACACACCGCCCGUCACACCAUGAGAGUUGAGAAUACCCGAAGUCCAUGUCAAAGUGGCCGAAGGUAGGCUUGAUGAUUGGGGUGAAGUCGUAACAAGGUAAC